Molecule: ribosomal RNA, 497 nt
Filed under: uncultured bacterium
Lineage: Bacteria
Description: partial 16S ribosomal RNA
Rfam family: Bacterial small subunit ribosomal RNA
Source: RNAcentral
GAUGAACGCUGGCGGCGUGCCUAAUACAUGCAAGUCGAGCGAACAGAUGAGGCUCUUGCUCCUCUGACGUUAGCGGCGGACGGGUGAGUAACACGUGGAUAACCUACCUAUAAGACUGGGAUCACUUCGGGAAACCGGAUCUAAUACCGGAUAAUAUAUUGAACCGCAUGGUUCAUUAGUGAAAGACGGUUUUGCUGUCACUUAUAGAUGGAUCCGCGCCGCAUUAGCUAGUUGGUAAGGUAACGGCUUACCAAGGCAACGAUGCGUAGCCGACCUGAGAGGGUGAUCGGCCACACUGGAACUGAGACACGGUCCAGACUCCUACGGGAGGCAGCAGUAGGGAAUCUUCCGCAAUGGGCGAAAGCCUGACGGAGCAACGCCGCGUGAGUGAUGAAGGUCUUCGGAUCGUAAAACUCUGUUAUUAGGGAAGAACAAAUGUGUAAGUAACUAUGCACGUCUUGACGGUACCUAAUCAGAAAGCCACGGCUAACUACGUG